This 418-nucleotide ribosomal RNA is filed under the name uncultured Opitutia bacterium. RNAcentral's name for it is "bacterial SSU rRNA". It matches the Rfam family "Bacterial small subunit ribosomal RNA", at positions 9 to 416 of the family's 1533-position model. Lineage: Bacteria; Pseudomonadati; Verrucomicrobiota; Opitutia. The record is from RNAcentral.
GAGUUUGAUCGUGGCUCAGAAUCAACGCUGGCGGCGUGCCUCAGACAUGCAAGUCGAACGAUUAAACUUUCCUUCGGGAAAGAUAUAAAGUGGCGCACGGGUGAGUAACACGUGGGUAAUCUGCCGAGAAGUGGGGGAUAGCUCGCCGAAAGGCGAAUUAAUACCGCAUGUGGUCAGGGGAGACAUCUUCCCGACACUAAAAGCCGGGGCAACCUGGCGCUUUUUGAUGAGCCCGCGGCCUAUCAGCUAGUUGGUGGGGUAACGGCCUACCAAGGCGGUGACGGGUAGCUGGUCUGAGAGGACGACCAGCCACACUGGAACUGAGACACGGUCCAGACUCCUACGGGAGGCAGCAGUGGGGAAUAUUGGACAAUGGGCGCAAGCCUGAUCCAGCCAUGCCGCGUGGGUGAAGAAGGCC